RNAcentral lists this long non-coding RNA (15068 nucleotides) under Gossypium barbadense (sea-island cotton). RNAcentral describes it as "long non-coding RNA (GBAR_LNC022093)". Lineage: Eukaryota; Viridiplantae; Streptophyta; Magnoliopsida; Malvales; Malvaceae. The record is from RNAcentral.
UGAUGAUGAGUUUAAAACUUGGGUUGCUACGUAUCGGCAAGAAAUAUGGAAAUGGCAAUGUUGAACUGGCUUUGUUCAAGGUAAUUCCAACACUACUUCACAGAUUAAGCCUCCUUCUUUUUGUUUAAAACUUCCAAAUCUUCUAAUUUAUCAUGUUUUAUUUCUCAUGUUACAAAUUUUUUUUUUUAAAAAAUCUAACAAAACUAGUUUACCAAGCUAACCUAUGUUAAGUCAAUUUUAUUCAUAUAAAUGAUUAACUAUAAGACUUAAUCAAUUAGGAUAAAAAAAAGUUGAUUGUUUUUUUCGUUUUUUAUAAUCAGAAGGGAUGAAUUGCUCACUCUACCAAUUUCUCCUUUGCAAUAAUAGUUACAAUUAACAAAUACGUCAAUAUAAUAUUUCGAAAUAGAUUUAGCGAAUAAAAAUAUUUAAUAAAAUAUUAUGAAAGAUAUUAAGGUCUAUUUGUGGCGGGCUAGUGGGUUGGGUUGGUGCUGCCAGAUGGGAAAUAGGUUAGAGGACAUCGGGGUAUAAUUGCUAUUUUAACACCUCGAAAAAACAACAUAAUAUUUUUAACUUUAACCUCUUAAAAUUUUAUAAUUUUAUCUUUAUCUCCUAAAGGAAAAUUCUUGGCUCCAUCCUUAUUAUUAGCACCCCUAAAAUGGAAACUUUUCAUUUAGGCUCCUUAAAAUUUUAUUUGUAAUGAUAAAAUUAUGCUUUGCUCCCCUAAAAUAAUAAAAAUUUAAUUUAAUCUUUUAAAAUUUAUAAAAGUAUAAUUUAAUUUCAACCCCUAAAAAUUUUUCUAACUUCACUCAUAUUUAUUAAUUCUCUAAAAAAAAUAUUAUAUUUAAACACCAGGUCGUUUUAUUCAUUUAUCUAGUGUUUGGGUUGAGCCUCUAUUGUUGUGGACUGACCAAAUGAAAUGUGUACAAUUAUUAUUAUUUUUAAAAAUAAUCCACACAUGGGUUAAGGGAAGGCAUAUGUAAAUACAAAAAAUGAAAAGAACAUAACAUUCGAGUCAUAAAUGAGGUGAAAGUGUGAGAAUUCAGCUUUUAGCAUGGGAAUGACCGAUCCUUUCCCCUUAAUACCUGUCCCAUCAUUGGCAUAAUCACUUAAUACUCCAACCACUUACUUAUUUUUUCAUUUUUUUAUUUUUAAAUUUAAAAUUUUUUAUUAAAUCACCUCGAGAUAAAUGAAAAAAAAUAAAUAUUUGUUAAUUUUACUGACGUAAUAUACAAGUGGAUGACAUGUUAAUAUUUAAUUAAUUUUUUAAAUAUUAAAAAUGUUUAAAAUAUAUUUUAUAAUUCUUUUUAAUGUUAACUCACAUAACAAUUGACAUGCACUUCAUAUUUUUUUUAAUUUUUAUAAAUUUUAAAUAUAUUUGUUGAUUUAAAAAAUAAAAUAAAUAGUGUCAUAUCAGUACAAAGUACACAUGUAAUGUCAUGCGGAUUGCCAUGCAAACAUCGUUAAAAAACAAUAUUUUAGUCAACAUUUUUAUUAGAAAAAAACACAUGGACCCCUUUUAAGAGAUUAAUAGUUAAAUUUAGCUCAAAAUAAAAUAAAAAUUAAAUUGAUAAAAAUAUAAAAAUAUUGAUGCUAGAAAAUCAUCUAACGGAUUUAUCAUUGGGAGGGUGGUUUGAGGUUUAGGGCUAAGAAAAUGAUCCUUUCUGGGUUGGGUUGUAGGAUAGUUGAUAUAUAAAGUAUCCUCCUAGGCCCAAUUGUUUUGAAUUAAAUAGAAAGCAUCUAAGUGUGAAAUUGAUGUCUAGGAGUAGGAGCUGGGCACCAUUGACAAAGCACCUCUCAACCAGUCAACAUUCUAGGCUUUAAUCAGCACAUCCCCAGUCCAAUCUAAUUGAUACACCUGAAGUUUAGUUUUUAGUCCUAUAAUUUCAAUGCCUAUGAAACCUUUGCCACUGCUUUAAACAUAUUUCAUCAUAAUCUUCUUUUUUCGAAAUCAACCAAUUCUCUAACCACUUCAUCUUCAUUAUCGGUGACCCUAAGACCCGAGUUUUCCCGAGCUCCCAUGCCUCCCAUACUUUCUUUUUCCGAUCAAGAAGGCCAGAAUCAGAUAAAGAGUUGUUUGUAUUUUGACCCCCAUGACGAUCAAGGUUUUGGAAAUUUAUUUUUACAUUUCCUACCGCUUCCAUUUUUUUCUUAAAUCCGAGCUCCGCAGUUCUUCAUUUCUCAGUCUCAAACAAAGAUUUAACUUUUCUUGAUUUGGAUAUUUUUUCCUGUACUAUAUACGCACAUAGAGAGACAAUAUACAAGGAUGGAAGAGAUAGAUGAGAAACCCCUUUUGCGUGUAUUGUCUAAUUAGGGAUGACUGGAAUUUUUGAAAAGUGACUGUGAAAUGGGAUAAUUUUUUUUUAAAUAGGUAUGGAGCGGUCUGUUUGUCCCAUCCUAUCCUACUACAUAAAUUAUCAUUUUAUUCUUGUAUAUAUAUCAUUAUUAUAAGAAUAAAAUUGUAAAAAUGUGUUAUAAAAAAUUCAUAUGUUUUAUAUUAAAUAUUUUAGAAUAACUAUGUUUAAAUAUUUACUUACUUUUAAAAAAAUUGAAAUGCUAAAGUUAACUCGAAAAAAUUAAACCGGGGCGGGUUGAGAGGGGUUUAGAUGCAUCCAACAUUCAUGGAAUUAGUAGGUGUUUUCAAGAGUACAUACCAAUCGUAGAGUGAAGUGGUUGGUAGGGCAAAGCAUACCGACGGUGAAGUGGUGGUGAAUUUGGUAACAUUUGCUCUCCGUACCCCGCUUCAUUAUAAGAGGAUUUGAUAUCUGUUAGAUCUUAGGACCUUACGCCCAAUGAAGCCGUGACAAUGUUGACAAAAAUUUAGAUCUUAGGACCUUACGCCCAAUGAAGCCGUGACAAUGUUGACAAAAAUUUAGAUCUUAGGACCUUACGCCCAAAUUUGAGUCUCACAUUAUGAAAAUUAUAUUGGUGUAAAUGAUAUAGUUGAAUAAGUUUAUUAUAAGAGGAGUUGUAUGCAGGUAAGCAAAGACAAUAGAUACAAAGGUUGAUGAAGAAAAUGAUUUUCGUAAUACAAAAGUGCAAUAUUAUUUCAUUUUGUAUAAUUAAGGUAUUCUUCAUGUUUGUAGCUUCAUCUCGUGAUAAUAUUAUCUCUAAGGUUUAAAUUGGAAUUUUUUUCAGAAGUGCAAUGUGUUUUAUCACUGCAUCAACACUUGUCGAUAAAUGCAUAUUUUUUGAAAGAAAGAACUUUUAUAAGUAUAAUGCUUUUUUCAUGCACAUGAUGAGACUGGAGAUCCACACAUACAAUUGUGCAUGAUAAAACUUGAACUUAUGUAGUCAAAACUCAAAAUCUCAACUAACAAUACAAAAUGCAAUUUAUUUUAAAUGCACUAACAAUGGAUUGUUCUUGGCAUGGUUCUGAGCUUUCUGGCCUUUUUUGUUGGCUCUGAAUCUCUCGAUUUUAUCAUGCUUUGUGUUCUUGCAUGAUUUUGUCUUUGUUUUGAUUGCUUUUGCUUGUGAACUCUUUAUCACUGCUUGAGUGUAGGUUGCUUCUCCCUUUUAAUAAAUUUACGUGAUUGAGGAAAAAAAUGGAUUACAUUUCCCUUUCAGGGCUUAAGCGAUACCAAAGUUACUUAAGAGGGAAAGGAUUUUUAUUAGAUGUGAUUCCAAUGGAAGGUGUUAAGAAUUAGUGUUAGUGGUUGUUAGGGUGUUCAUGGGAUAUGCCAAUAUGAUUUUAGAUAGAACGGGGGUAAAAAGAAAAAGACAACAUAGGGGGCCAUGUAAGAAAAUGCAGCUAAUGAUAACAAAACCAUAAAAGAAAAAACAAAAAAGGUCUUGCACUGAUUGGAAGGUUGUAGACUUUGAUUGCCUAUCGAGGUUUCGAGAUACCUCGGUAAGGUUGGGAUUGAGUGGUUGACCACUUUUUAUAGAUUUGAUUAAGUAAAAAAAUUGUUGUUUAUUGAAUGGAGGAGAAAUAGAUUCAAGAUUUGAUUAAAGACUGACUAUGCCACUUGUGAAAAAUCAAUUUGGUUUCGUGCUAGGAAAUCCACCAUAUGGUAGCAUUUCUUGGAGACAAUGAUUUAUUUAGGAAGAGAGGAAGCCGACAGGGAUGGUGAGUGUGGCGAAUUAAAUUUUGGGUUAAUACAACAUUUAAAAUUUGUAGAGAUUUAAUGAUUUUGUUUUGAGAUGUUUAAUUAUAUGACAGAUGCUAAUUAUAUGAUUGAGAUGGUAUGAUUUAAGGAAAAAAUUAUCCUGACUUAACCUUAAGAGGAAUUAUUUUAUGGACCCUUUCCACCACAUUAUUCAUAAUCUAUUUUCAAUUACUCAAUGAUAUUUUAAUAAUUUUUCUCAUGUCAUUGAUUUAUAAUUUUGAUAAUUUUUUGCCAUGAACUUUAAACUUUGAACUCUAAACUCCGAACCGAAUUCAAAGCUCAGUGUAAAAAAGAUUACCAAAAUUAUAUAUUAAUGACAUGCAAAAAAUACUAAAAUGUCAUUAAAUAAUUGAAAAUGGACCAUAAAUACUAUGGUGGAAAAUGUAAUUAAAAAGUGCAUGAUUUAAGGAAAAAAAUCAUGUUGACUUAACCACAAUUAGAGUGAUUCAAAAUUUAGGGUUGAAACCUUUUGUCAUUCAUUUCCCUCCCCAGAUUUGUAAUAAGAAAAAGGAGAAAAAAAAUCAUAAUAUUAAAUUUAUAUGAUAGCAAAAUACUUUAGACUUUGAACGAAAGCUUUGCUGUAAACACGAAUGUUGGAUUAACAUGAUGUUGACAUAUGCAAGGAAAGUCAUAAUAGGUUGGUUCAAUUGAUAGAGCAUCGAUUAACAUAAUGGCAAAAAUCAAAGUUGUCUUAAUUAAUAAGUGAUGUACACUUAUUGCCAAUAUGCAAAUGUUGCAUUUGGUCACAUGGGGUGUAUUUGUUAGAAACAUGGAUCUAAUUAAUGUUGCACAAUGGUUGAAGAGAAGACCAAAAAAGCACAUGGUUGGAGAUGAUGUCUUUGCAUCAAAUUCACAUUUUCUGAGGGUGUGGUUUUGGACUUUUGCUGAAAUAUGCUUUUAAUUUGUACUUAGAAAGAGAUUGACAUUGGUGCAUCAAGUUAACUAAGAAUAUUAUGCAAUAAAUUUAUAAAAAUCAAUAUAAAAAGUAAAUUUGAUUAUGAAUAUAGUGGUAAAAUUGAGAUUAUGAAAAUCAUUAAAUUUUGGGUUUAAAUCUCAUCAUAUAUAUAUUUUCUUGGUUUUAUAUAAAAAUUUAAAAAGGAAAAAUAAUUUUAAAAUAGUAUUUAUUACUAUGUAAAAACAAUGAAUUUUUGUUAAUUUCACAAAAUACUCAAUUGACGGGUGGCAUUAGUCCAAUCUAAAUAUUUUCUUUGAAUAUAAGUGGAGUGGUAAUAAAUUUGUAUUUUAAUAAUUUUGAACACUAUUAAACGCGUACUUAAUCUUUGAAUUUAUAAUUGUUUUACUUAUAGAUGAUAUAAAAAUAUGAAAAAGACAAAAGUAUUACUAAUAAAUAGUUGGGUGUAAUGAAAAAUCAUAUUAUACUCCUAGAAAGAAAAAUCAAGUUUGUAAGCUAUAAAAUCAUAAUUGUUGUUAAUUUUUACAAGAGUUUUACCUUUUGAUUGGUCUGGUCGGUGACUCACCCUUUGGGGUUUCUUCUCCACUAUCACAAUUGCUUCAGCCACUCCACAUCUUUUUCUUCCAUUGGUGCUUUUACAGCCUCCACUUCAUUUCUUUUAUCUGUCUAUCUCUUAGGGUUUUCUUUUUCGCAAGAAGUGCUCCUAAUGAUUCAGAUCUUACGGCAUGUUCUAGGUUUUAGGGUCUUUCAGGUUUUUUUUUUUAAACUAGGGUUUGCUAAAGGAUCUCUCUCACACAAACAACACCCAGAACUUUGGGGUGUAUAAAAUGCCAGAUUUUGAAUGUAUAUAUAUGCCCAAAAAAUUCAACCUGUCAUCUCAAAAUCUUAGGGUUUUUUCUUUCUUUCUUGAUUUGUGCUUUUAAGUUACAGAUUUGGGAAUAGCAGUUUUAGGGUUUGAAGGGUUUUCCAGUGUAUAUCUUCCCUCUCCAUCAUUUUGGGCAAAGUUGUACAAAUUUAAGCAGACCUGUAAGAACCCUAACUAGAAGUGAUGCCCACAUACCUAUUUAGCAAGAAGAACUUAAUGUGGGUGGUCCAAGUGAAAAUGGUGGAUUUGAGGACAAGUUCAGAAAACUUUUAUGGGGUGAAGAUGGUAAAAAAGAAAAUGCAAAACAAAACAAGGAUCAAUGGCUUUAGGGUCAAAAGUACUAUUGCUGUUUUUCCUUCUUUUUUUUUCAGUCAGAGAACACUUAUUCAUCUUCACAUGGGUGUGGAUAGGUGGAUACCAGUUCAGGUCUGUAAGGCAGAUUAUUCACUCUCAUUUUAAUUUUAACCUUUAGAUUCACCCAUUGGCCUUUUGGAUGUAAAAAAGAAAACGGAAACUUUUUUUUUUUUUCUCAAAUUGUAUAUAGUCUGUAGGGCAUAUAUAGGCUAAGCAGACAAUGCUAUUUAACAAAUAUAUAAUCAUGUAUAAGUCACUCACAGUCACAGACAUGAAAGGAUGAGGAGUUAAAUAAAAGGAUGAACGGGUAACAAAAUUUGCAAGUAGUUGAGUUUAUAGAUAAUAAAACGGAUGCAAAAGAUACCGUGACUUCAGGGUUGCUAAUGCAAUUGCUAGCAAUGCGAUGUAGUGUCUAAUUUUCGGCUUAAGUUGGAAUUUGAGGCAGUAAUUGCAUGGUUUUUUUAAAAUAGGAUUAGACUGGUCGAUUGGGUCGAGGAUGAGUAAAUUCAAUUGUUCAUGUAAACGAAAGAGGAUGAAUCCGUUAAUUACUUUGUUUUACUUAUUCUUUUAAAAAGUUUCAAAAUAUUGGACGGUCAUAUUUAGUGAACCAAAUCAUCAAUAGUCGCUACAACUUAGUUUCGAGUUUUUGGUAUGUCAUAUAUCUUAAUUCCUAUGCAAAAAUAUGGAUGCAAUAUGUAUUAUUAUAAAAUAAUCAUAUAAAAUAUUAAAAACAAAUCGAUAAUUUAGUGUUAAAUAAUUCAUUAUACAACAAUCAAUCUAAAGAAAGCCUAACAUGUACUUGUAUAUUCAAAAAGAUAAUAAUUUUAUCCAUAUACAUUUUUUUUAAAAAAAAUUACUAAGCUGACAAUCCAUAUGCAUAUUUAAGUAUGUAUUAAAUAUAAAUAUGAAAUUCAAAUAUUUAAAAAAUAAUAAAAAAAAGAAUUGAAUGGAAUAACUUGUACAUUUAAUUUUAGCCUAUUAAUUUGUAGUUUGAAUUCUCUAUAUAUUUCAAAUUUUAUCAUUGCUAAAGGAAAUGGUCAAUCAAUGUUUUGCUCUAAUAUAAAAUACAUAUGUUACUCAUGUUUAAAAUGAUACUGAUAUAAGCAGAUCGAGUUUUAGCUUAAUUGUCAUUGUUGCUAUUACAACAACUAGGAGGAUAUAAGUUUGAGUGUGACACACUUUUCUUUUUAUUUAAGGGUUGAAGGAUUUAGAUUUUUAUUUUCCAAUUUUAUUAUUUAAAAAUUACAUAAAAAUUUUAGAUUUUAAAUCAAAUGUAUAUUUAUACAAAAAUAAAAAAAGUUGAACCAAAAAAUUCAAAUUUUUUUAUUAAAAAUAAAAUAUAAAAAACCUGAGGUUUUUUCUUUCUAAUUUUCAACAACUUUUUUCGAUUCUUGACUUCUUAUUUCUUAUUGGAUCAAAAUAAUCCAAGUUAUCUCCAAUUAUAUGUUACCAAUUUAACAGAUUAAAAUUUCAAUUCUCAAUUCAACUAAUUCUAUCCGAUUCUGACAACAUUCCUUAUCCUUAAAAUUUUAUACACGUAUGACUAAAAGAAAAAAAGUAAGCUAGAGCACGAUUUUUUUCAUGUAUGGAAUACCUAUUCCUUAUCUUUUAUUUUUGCCCCUCUUCUCAUUUUCAAUCAUGAGAUAUGACAACAGCCCCUUUCCCUAAAUAUUUUUCCUAUUAUUUUCUCUAAGGUACCCUUUGUUUCCACAUGUUUUGCUUCAUUGUAGGGGAGAACUUUUGUCGUAAUGUAGCAUAUCAAUGGUGAGUUUUAUUCAAUAUAUGAUCAAUUUAGUGCAAGAUGCCCCUACCAUUUGGUGCUUUAUUGCUUUUCUAAAUACCUAGUGUUUUUUGGGAACAAUUUUUAUCCUAAUUGUAACACCCUUUAACCCUAAAUCGUCGUCGGAACAGGGUUACAAAGCAUUACCGGACAUAUCGGAUAACUUAUAACUAAUUCACAAGUAAAUAACAUACAUAGCGUACUUUAAUCAAUACAAUACCUAGAUACAUGCCACAUUAUCAAAAGAAAGGUACAUCACUAAAAUUUCUCUGAGGUCAGGAUUGCUCUGGAUGCUUGACCGGUCACUGGCUUUCUACUAACCUGCGCAUGAAAACAACCGUACGCUGAGUAUGGGUAUACUCAGUGGUAUUACCAUAAUUCAAAUUUAUAACAUUAAUCGAUAAAUUAUUACAUUUUUAUUUUAUGUCUACAAUUAUUCAUUAAUUAUCUCAUACUUUAAAUCAACUUGAUCAUUAAUAACAAUAAGCAAUAUUUCACUAUGUCAAUUUCAUUGGAUUUUUAACAUCUCAUUCCAAUAGUUCAUUUCAAUUCAUAUACAAUUCAUUCAAUUUAUCACUAUAUUCAAUAUCAAUUCUAUUGCAAUUUGUACUCACUAAUAUCAUAUAACAAAAAUUUACUCUUCAUCACAUCAUGAACUUUGGGUUCAUAUCUUCAAAUCUCAUAUCUCAAUUUCCAAUUCACAUAUCAAUUCACAAUUUCACUUUCUCAUUUCUUUCCAUAGCUCGAUUUCCAAUUCACAUAUCAAUUCACGAUUUCACUUUCUUAUUUCUUCCAUAGCUCAAUCAAUUACACUUAUUCAAAAGUUCUCAUUUCAAUUAUUUACCCCUAUUAACAAGACUCAGACCUUGACGGAUACAUGGAUUCAACCAAACGCACCAAAAUAUCCAACCUAACACACCCGGAAUAAUAUAAAUCCUCCUUAACACACCAGUAUAUCAUAUCCUCCCAAACACACCAAUAAGGCAUUAGAUGCCUCUUCGGAUAAACCGAAGCAUAUAUUAACAGAAUCAUCUUCUCGGCCGAACUACAAAUCUCCUCAUCACAUCACAAAUCCUAUGGCAUGACAUUUGUAUCCAAUCUAGUCCGAUAAAUUAAUAGGGUAUUAUUUUACUUUUCCAAUUUCGAAUUCAUUUCCACAACAAUUUCAAAUAUUCAAUCAAUUCAAAACAUCUAUUAUUUCAAUUUACAAACAAUUCAAUAUCAUUUAAUUCAAUAUCGAUAUUCACCUUAUUUUUAUUUAUUAAACAUAUUAUUCAAAAUUCAACAAUUACUAUUAAUAAAUUCAAUACCAAUACGUAUUUAUCAUUCAAUUCAAUCAUGAUACUUACCUCAAUUUUCUUAUCAAGUGUAUGAAUUUAAAAUUUAACAAUUAAUAAUUAAAUUCGAAUUAUGGUAAUACUAACCGAAAUUUUCUCGAAUCACUCCUUGUCCACCUUCUCCUUUCCUCUCUCGGACAAUGACUCUUACACGACAUUAGCUACGUAAUUAAAUAAAUAAAAAUAAUUAAUACACAAUUUCAUCAAAAUAUUUUCAUUUAUACCUAAACUUUACCUAAAUUCUAAUUUAAUCCCUUAUCAAUACUAAUUUUAUUUUCCCAAUCUAACUCCAUAUUCUCUUAAUUCUUACUAUAAACUCAUUUUAACUCUUCAUUUUUACCAUAAAUCCCUAAUUUCAAAAUUCUCUCAAUUUAGUCCCUAUUAAUUCAAAACUUAUGUUUUAUUUUACAAAUCAACCUUUUACUAACUUCUAACUUGAAAUCCAAUCAAUUUAAUCCCUAAUUCUUCAAUUUAUUCAACAUAAACAAUAUCUAAAAAAUUACUAACUUUCAAAAUUUCAACAUCAAUCAAAUAGUAUUUUGUUCUAGGAUUCUAAAAAUAUCAAAAUUACAAAAAAAAGAGAGACUAAAUUAACUUACCAAUUAAAUUUGGAACUUUCGAAACCCCUUAAGGCGUGUUCUCUUUCUUUUUCUUCUUUCUCUUUUUCUUUCUCAAUUUUCGUUUUGCUUCUCUGUUUCUAUAUAUAUAUAUAUAUAUAAAAACAUACUUAUUAAUUAAGUAAAUAUAAUAUAAUAUAUAUUUUAAACUAAAAAUAUCUUACAUUUUUCAAUGUUAAGCAGCCUCAACUUUAAGCAAUGGCAUAAUUGCUUCUUUGAUCCCUUUAAUUUUUCUUAAUCUAUAAUUAAACUUUUAUCUUUAUUACAAUUUAAUUUUUUUUAUAAUUAACCUCAAUUUAGACAAAUUCACUUAAUUAAAACCUAACUAACUACACAACUAACUUCGUAAUAUUUAUAAUAAAUAUUUACAAGUUCGAUUUAUCGGAACGAAGUCCCGAGAAUACUUUUUUUUCAAUUCGAUCCUUUUUAAUCAAUUAACUAUCGGAACAUUAAAAUUUAUUAACGAAACUUUAAUACUACCCUAAUGACACUCCAUAAAUAUUUUUAAAAAUAUUUACGGCUCAGUUUAUAAUAUCGAGGUCUCGAUACCUCGUUUUUGACCCAAUUUACCUAAUAAUUUCUUUUAAAUCACAAAAUUCAUUAACUUUUUGAAAUAUUUCUAAAAUCACGCUUAACUUAUAAUUAUUAAUUAAUAAUUUUUCUAAAUUUUUUAUCGGAUUUAGUGAUCUCAAAUCAUUGUUCUGACACUACUGAAAAUUGUGUUGUUACACUAAUCAUCCAUGGGAGGGUGGGGGGAACUUAUUUAUAAUUUAUGUGGGGGUAUAUUAAGAGAGUUUUUUUUUUUUUUGAAAGAAAGAGAAUAAUGAUUGUAUGAAAUAGGGAUAAGCCUCAAAAUUAUAUAUGAAUUUUGAUUUAAUGUGUAAUUUUAUAUAUGAAUUUUGAUUUUGUGUAAUUUCAUACACAAAAUUUUAAUUUGAUCUAAUUCUUAGAAAUUAUUAACACAAUUAUUGAUAUAAUGCCAUUUUAUGUUUAUAUAUUAUAUACACAAAUAAUUAUAUUUAUCCAAUAUAAAAAUAAAUGUAUAUAAUUGAACCAAAAUUAAAGUUUCAUUUAUACAUUUGAACCACAAUAAAAAUUCCAUAUGUAUAAUUUAACCAAAUUAAAGUUCAUGUAUCAAAUUACACAUUGAAUAAAAGUUCAUGCACAAUUUUAAGAUUUGUUCCUAUGAAAUAGGGUGUAUUACUUUCAUUCAAAUCGUAUUAUGUGUAAUAAUUAAUUAUGAAAAUAAUUUACUAGUGAUUUUUAUAAUAAAUAAUUGGUUAAAAGUGAUAAACAAUCAGUUCACUCUUUAGCAAUAACUUACUUUAACAACAUUUUAUUAUAACAAUUAAGUUUGUUGUAAAACCAAUUUUUUAUGUUUUCUUUUUUACUUUCUAUAACAACUUUCCGUCUAUAUCAACAAACGUCUUAAUAUUUAAAGUGCAUUGUUUCCUAAAUUAAUUGUCUAUAAUAGUCAAUUACCCCAAAUUUUAAUAAAAUUAAUUCCAUUCCUAAGUGAAAUAAAAAUAAUAAAUUUUAAUUAAGAUAUUAUUUAAAUUUUAUAUAAAAAUAUAUUAAUUUUACUUUAUUAGGAAAAAAUAAUAUUUAAUAAAUAAAAUUACAUUUAUAAAUUCCAUUAAUUAAUAUUAUUAUAAUUUAAAUCAUUUACAAAGAUUUUAAUCCUGCCACAUGUAGAUUUUAUCCAUUAUUGUGAAGGUUGACCAAUUAAAUUCAACGUUUAUAUCAUUAUUAUUAUUUGAAUUUAAUUUAUUUAAAUUGAUUUGAUGCAUAAAAAAUUAUAUACACUAUCAUAAAAUUGACUCAAUUUCCAAAAAUGAUUUUUUAAAAAAAUAAAAAAAUGGGUGGACUAUUUUGGUAAGUGUAAAGCUUUUGUUAUUAGCUUUUAAUUUCCCAUCGAAUAGUCAAGUGAUUGCUUUUGUCAUUUAAAUGAAAAAUUCUUCUUGUUAUGAUGUAUGCAUUUUCCAAAUCAUUUAUUUCUCUUCGGCAUUUAUUACCAGUUAUGACAUUUCUGGUAUGUGUCAGUAGACAGGUUUUAUUAAUUAAUAAUAAUUAUUGUUAAUAAAAUCAGGUUGGGGUCAAAAAAUCUACUUGUAUUUAAUAAUUUUCCCCUAUUUUAUUGAAUUUAAUAAAUAAAGAAAUUAAUUUAUCAAAUUAAUAAUUUUUCUAUUAAUUAUUCAAUUCAAUAUUUAUAAUUUCUCAUAAUAUAAAUAUAAAAAUAUCUCUACUUUCCAGAAUUACGCAUGUUUCAUAGGUUUUGUUUAGGGUAAUAAUUACACAUUGUUGUAAUUGUAAAGAAUUUUACUUUUAUUUGACUAAUAAACUAUAAUUAUAUUGUAAUUCUCUAUAUCAUGUUUAAUAGUAUAAAUUGUAAUUUUAAAGUUAUAUAUUUUUAAAUUCUUAAAAAUAAUAUUAAUUAUACAAAAAAAAACUAUUAAUAAUACUUGAAAAAACAAAUUCUCUAAACAAGUAACAAUAUUUAAAAUCAAUCAUUGUAUAUAUUAUGUAAGUCCAAGAAAACAUUAACAAUACAAUUACUAAUAAAAUUUUAUCUAAUUACGCUGGCAUUCUAUAUUUGUUGGUCUAUUCCGUCUAUAAUAUUUAAUAUAUACUCAUUAUCAUCAUCGAUUGGUUAUAAUUAAUUAAUAAUAAAUAUUAUGUAAUUUAGUUAAAUAUUUAGUAAGUCAAAAUGUAUGAGAAAUUAUCUCUCGUGUAAACAAGAUUAAUGAAAUAACAUAUAAUUACAUUUAAAAAUAAAAUAUAUGUCAAAUAAUAAAAAUAAUAUUAUUGUAUAAAAAUAAAUUUUAAAACUUAAAUAGUGUAUGUGUAUAUUUGAAAAGUGCAAUUGAUUUUAAAUUUAAUUACUCACAUAAUUACUUAAAUCCUCUUCCUUCCUUAAGAAUUAAAAAUUGUUAUCAGAACACUUCAACUACAUUCAAUUUAGUAGUACUCACUAAUUACAAUAAUUAUCCAAAUAUAUCGCACAUAUGUAAUUAUAAUCAACUACACCAAAAAUUCUAUUUUUAGGUUACUUUUCAAAAUAUUUGAAAGCUUUUAUUUUGUUCUCAUUUUUUAUGAUCAUUCCAAAAUAGCUUAAAUUUAUCCUACACAAUAAAACAAAGAAAAUCAUAAAAUCAAUUAUUUUUCCAAAAUAUCUUAAUAUAAUCAAAUUUCUUCAAUUUUUUUUAGAUUGGUGAAAUUUGAAAAUUUCCAAUAAUCCCAUGUAGCAUUGUAUGUAUUUUAAGUGUUCAUGCUUUCAUCUAUAAAUAAAACUAAGCUCUCAAUAGUUUUCUCUAACUUUUGAGUUUAUAGUUGAAAAUUUAUGUUAUAUACAUAUAAAAGAAAAAAGAAAAAGAAAUCAAUAAGUAAGAGGAAAGAGUCAAACUAACGGGAGUCGAGAUCCAGAUUCAAGCUUAACUAAAUAAAGCGGAAUUUAGCACUUAUAAGUGUGGAGGUCCUAAGUCAGACUUAUUAGCUAAUAUUCUUUUUCCUUGUCUCUUCUCUGAUCUUGAGGGAAUUCAAUGAUUAAAAACUUAUGCUAAACUCAAACACUUAUGAUGUUGAUGUACUCUUACAUAGAUUGAAAAAUAAUUAAAAAUUUUCCACUAACAAAGUAAAAACAACUUACAAAGUUUAUCAUAUGCUGCAGAAAAUCAACCUAAUUUAGCUACAAAUUGUAGGAGAAAUUAUCAUAAAGAGUGAGUUUCAUAGUACUUCCAUGGUAAUGAACCAUCUAAACCAUCUAAGCAUGCACAAAAAGGAUGCCCACUAAAGUUUCUAUUAUUUCAUAGCUUAGAUUUCAAUAGAAUUAAUCUCUACAAGUAUUAAAUUCACAAAGUCAUGCAAUUGUAUAUGCUUAAGUUUAGGAACAUUGAGCUGUACUGUUUGAAGUCAUGAUGUCCACUAUAUUAUAAUAUUCCAUCAUACAUGAAGAUAUCCCUAUAAUUUCUACUUCAUAUUAUGAGAUGAAUGAUGGAUAUGUUGUUUAGGCUUUGAAAAAACAUGGCCUGAAAGUGGAAGAAAAUUGCUUGUAAGGCCAUAGUGGAUCCCAUAACCCACCCUAUGUAUGCAACCAUUUCCUAUAAAAGCUUACUUCACCACCAACAUAAGGCAAAACCAAUGAACAAACACUAAAGAGACAGAGCAAGUUUUAGAUCAAUUGGUUUGAAAACAACAACAAUAACAUACAAAAGAUGUUGAUCUUCAUUGCUGAAAUUAAGGUUUUACAAUGAAUCUAAUUAAGAUACUAUAUUUUACUUACUUUGAACAUAAACAAGGGAAUUGCAUAACAUCAUCCUAAAAUGAUAAAUCACCACACAACAAUCAUUAAAAGAGUCCACAAUAAAAAUCCCAAAUAAAUAUUUUUUUUAAAAACCUUGCUCAUACCAUAGUACAUACCAUAUAGAAAGUCAGCAAUAACAUAGUGCAUGCCUCUAAAUUUUAUUGUUGUAGCCUUCCCAUGGUUUGCCAAAGGGCAGAAAGCCAGUGAUCUGAUGCUGUCAAAUUAUAUCAUUUGUUACAAUUAGGUUUGGUUCUAGAAUUAGCAGCUGACAAACAUAAGAUCAAAGAAACUAUGUUAUAAAGGACUAAUUAGUACUUACCUCUUGGUUAAUUCCAGAGUUUUGUAGACAAUUGAACAUGGAAUCGGGGUUCCAUUUGUUAAUAAUUGCUAAAGAUUCAUCAAUCAUAUCACCAGCAGCAACCUGUUGCAAAGAAGGGUUGAUCUUCUUGUUGUGGUGGUGCUGUUGGAUACUAGAUUCUUCACCUGUCUGAAAAGACCACCAUGAACUGAGUUUGGUCUCAUCAGUACUACAACAUAGCUUUUGAUUCCACAUGUUCUUUGCUUUGGUUCUUGCCUUUGCCCUUGCUCUUGCCUUUUCCCUUAAAUCCCUUGCAAGAGGGUGGAACUGGAAAGUGGUUUUUUUAACCGUUUUCUCUGUAGGUUUCCCUUUAGAGAUGGUACCUUCUAAAGCAGACACCACUUCACCCUCGGAAGUUGAAGAUGGACUCUUUGCAACAGCCGCCGCUUCCUCCGCCGCCGCCGCUGCAACGCUGUUGUUAUUAUUAUGGGAAACACG